UGACCUCUGGUCUACCUGCUGUCGCGCCAGCGGCACCGCAGGGUAGCUAUGUCGGGUUUUGAUAACCGCUGAAAGCAUCUAAGCGGGAAGCUUGCUCCAAGAUUAGGAAUCGUUAUGAGACUCCUGGAAGAUGACCAGGUUGAUAGGCUUUAGGUGUACGCACAGUAAUGUGUUUAGCCGAGAAGUACUAAUAUGUCCAGUCUCUUG
RNAcentral lists this ribosomal RNA (207 nucleotides) under Candidatus Kaiserbacteria bacterium. RNAcentral describes it as "partial 23S ribosomal RNA". It matches the Rfam family "Bacterial large subunit ribosomal RNA", at positions 2703 to 2925 of the family's 2925-position model. The record is from RNAcentral. Lineage: Bacteria; Candidatus Kaiseribacteriota.